AUUGAACGCUGGCGGAAUGCUUUACACAUGCAAGUCGAACGGCAGCACGGGUGCUUGCACCUGGUGGCGAGUGGCGAACGGGUGAGUAACAUAUCGGAACGUGCCCAGUAAUGGGGGAUAACUAACCGAAAGGUUAGCUAAUUCCGCAUACGCCCUGAGGGGGAAAGCGGGGGAUCGAAAGACCUCGCGUUAUUGGAGCGGCCGAUAUCUGAUUAGCUAGUUGGUAGGGUAAAGGCCUACCAAGGCGACGAUCAGUAGCUGGUCUGAGAGGAUGAUCAGCCACACUGGGACUGGGACACGGCCCAGAAUCCUACGGGAGGCAGCAGUGGGGAAUUUUGGACAAUGGGCGAAAGCCUGAUCCAGCCAUUCCGCGUGAGUGAAGAAGGCCUUCGGGUUGUAAAGCUCUUUCGGCAGGAACGAAACGCUCUAGAUUAAUACUCUGGGGUAAUGACGGUACCUGAAGAAGAAGCACCGGCUAACUACGUGCCAGCCGCCGCCGUAA
Molecule: ribosomal RNA, 502 nt
Filed under: uncultured bacterium
Lineage: Bacteria
Description: partial 16S ribosomal RNA
Rfam family: Bacterial small subunit ribosomal RNA
Source: RNAcentral